RNAcentral lists this ribosomal RNA (207 nucleotides) under uncultured bacterium. RNAcentral describes it as "partial 16S ribosomal RNA". It matches the Rfam family "Bacterial small subunit ribosomal RNA", at positions 568 to 774 of the family's 1533-position model. The record is from RNAcentral.
CGCGUAGGCGGUUACAUAAGUUGGAGGUGAAAUCCCCGGGCUCAACCUGGGAACUGCUUUCAAGACUGUGUGACUUGAGUACAGCAGAGGAUAGUGGAAUUUCUAGUGUAGCGGUGAAAUGCGUAGAUAUUAGAAGGAACACCAGUGGCGAAGGCGACUGUCUGGGCUGAUACUGACGCUGAGGUGCGAAAGCGUGGGGAGCAAACA